This 73-nucleotide transfer RNA is filed under the name archaeon. It matches the Rfam family "tRNA". Rfam says of the family: Transfer RNA (tRNA) molecules are approximately 80 nucleotides in length. The record is from Rfam by way of RNAcentral.
GCAGCUAUAGCUCAGUGGUAGCAGCGUCGCUCUGAUAAGGCGGAGGUCCACAGUUCGAUCCUGUGUAGCUGCA